Molecule: ribosomal RNA, 490 nt
Filed under: uncultured bacterium
Lineage: Bacteria
Description: partial 16S ribosomal RNA
Rfam family: Bacterial small subunit ribosomal RNA
Source: RNAcentral
AUUGAACGCUGGCGGCAGGCCUAACACAUGCGAGUCGAACGGUAACAGGAAGAAGCUUGCUUCUUUGCUGACGAGUGGCGGACGGGUGAGUAAUGUCUGGGAAACUGCCUGAUGGAGGGGGAUAACUACUGGAAACGGUAGCUAAUACCGCAUAACGUCGCAAGACCAAAGAGGGGGACCUUCGGGCCUCUUGCCAUCGGAUGUGCCCAGAUGGGAUUAGCUUGUUGGUGGGGUAACGGCUCACCAAGGCGACGAUCCCUAGCUGGUCUGAGAGGAUGACCAGCCACACUGGAACUGAGACACGGUCCAGACUCCUACGGGAGGCAGCAGUGGGGAAUAUUGCACAAUGGGCGCAAGCCUGAUGCAGCCAUGCCGCGUGUAUGAAGAAGGCCUUCGGGUUGUAAAGUACUUUCAGCGGGGAGGAAGGGAGUAAAGUUAAUACCUUUGCUCAUUGACGUUACCCGCAGAAGAAGCACCGGCUAACUCCGUG